GACGAACGCUGGCGGCGUGCUUAACACAUGCAAGUCGAACGAUGAACCGGAGCUUGCUCCGGGGAUUAGUGGCGAACGGUGAGUAACACGUGGGCAACCUGCCCCCAGACACCGGGAUAACCCUUCCGAAAGGAUGGCUAAUACCGGAUACGACCACUUCGGGCAUCCGACGGUGGUGGAAAGGAUUCUGGUCUGGGAUGGGCCCGCGGCCUAUCAGCUUGUUGGUGGGGUAAUGGCCUACCAAGGCGACGACGGGUAGCCGGCCUGAGAGGGCGACCGGCCACACUGGGACUGAGACACGGCCCAGACUCCUACGGAGGCAGCAGUGGGGAAUAUUGCGCAAUGGGCGAAAGCCUGACGCAGCGACGCCG
This 371-nucleotide ribosomal RNA is filed under the name uncultured bacterium. RNAcentral's name for it is "bacterial SSU rRNA". It matches the Rfam family "Bacterial small subunit ribosomal RNA", at positions 28 to 399 of the family's 1533-position model. The record is from RNAcentral.